Molecule: RNase P RNA, 408 nt
Filed under: uncultured Reyranella sp.
Lineage: Bacteria; Pseudomonadati; Pseudomonadota; Alphaproteobacteria; Hyphomicrobiales; Reyranellaceae
Description: Bacterial RNase P class A
Rfam family: Bacterial RNase P class A
About the family: Ribonuclease P (RNase P) is a ubiquitous endoribonuclease, found in archaea, bacteria and eukarya as well as chloroplasts and mitochondria. Its best characterised activity is the generation of mature 5'-ends of tRNAs by cleaving the 5'-leader elements of precursor-tRNAs.
Source: RNAcentral
GGCGGCUGGAUGGCUGCGCUUUCCCGGGCGACCGGGAGGGUGAGGAAAGUCCGGGCUCCACGGAGACACGGUGCCGGCUAACGGCCGGCGGGGGCGACCCCAGGGAAAGUGCCACAGAGAACAGACCGCCGCGCCGGCCCGCCUUCGGGCGACAAGCCGGCAGGCAAGGGUGAAACGGUGGGGUAAGAGCCCACCGCGCGACCGGUAACGGAAGCGGCACGGCAAACCCCACCGGGAGCAAGACCAAAUAGGGGCGGCACGCCGGGCAACCGGCAGCGGCGUUUCCGCGUCGCCGCCCGGGUCGGUCGCGCGAGGCGCCCGGUGACGGGCGUCCCAGAGGAAUGGCCAUCCAUCGCCGCCCGGGGUUUCCUGGGAGGCGGGGACAGAACCCGGCUUACAGGCCGCCUG